RNAcentral lists this long non-coding RNA (213 nucleotides) under Elaeis guineensis (African oil palm). RNAcentral's name for it is "long non-coding RNA (EGUI_LNC075694)". Lineage: Eukaryota; Viridiplantae; Streptophyta; Magnoliopsida; Arecales; Arecaceae. The record is from RNAcentral.
ACAUCUUAUCUUCAUUCCACAAAGAUAGUUGACAUGGACUAAAUAGUUUAAUUGGCUUCUAUAGAGCUACUACAUUUAAAUAGUUGUAAUAAAAAAAAAAAAAGAAAAAUUAGCUUUUGAAGCCAGGUUAAGUCCAAAGUGUUACAACUCAGCCUCAAAAGGGAGAAAAUGUAAACAACAACAAAGAAGAUAUCAGGACUAACAAAGGCCCCA